Molecule: ribosomal RNA, 908 nt
Filed under: Boeremia exigua var. exigua
Lineage: Eukaryota; Fungi; Ascomycota; Dothideomycetes; Pleosporales; Didymellaceae
Description: LSU rRNA
Rfam family: Eukaryotic large subunit ribosomal RNA
Source: RNAcentral
AGCAUAUCAAUAAGCGGAGGAAAAGAAACCAACAGGGAUUGCCCUAGUAACGGCGAGUGAAGCGGCAACAGCUCAAAUUUGAAAUCUGGCGUCUUUGGCGUCCGAGUUGUAAUUUGCAGAGGGCGCUUUGGCAUUGGCAGCGGUCCAAGUUCCUUGGAAACAGGACGUCACAGAGGGUGAGAAUCCCGUACGUGGUCGCUAGCCUUUACCGUGUAAAGCCCCUUCGACGAGUCGAGUUGUUUGGGAAUGCAGCUCUAAAUGGGAGGUAAAUUUCUUCUAAAGCUAAAUACUGGCCAGAGACCGAUAGCGCACAAGUAGAGUGAUCGAAAGAUGAAAAGCACUUUGGAAAGAGAGUUAAAAAGCACGUGAAAUUGUUGAAAGGGAAGCGCUUGCAGCCAGACUUGCCUGUAGUUGCUCAUCCGGGUUUUUACCCGGUGCACUCUUCUAUAGGCAGGCCAGCAUCAGUUUGGGCGGUUGGAUAAAGGUCUCUGUCACGUACCUCCUCUCGGGGAGAACUUAUAGGGGAGACGUAAUGCAACCAGCCUGGACUGAGGUCCGCGCAUCUGCUAGGAUGCUGGCGUAAUGGCUGUAAGCGGCCCGUCUUGAAACACGGACCAAGGAGUCUAACAUCUAUGCGAGUGUUUGGGUGUCAAGCCCGAGCGCGUAAUGAAAGUGAACGGAGGUGGGAACCUUUCGGGGUGCACCAUCGACCGAUCCUGAUGUCUUCGGAUGGAUUUGAGUAAGAGCAUAGCUGUUGGGACCCGAAAGAUGGUGAACUAUGCUUGAAUAGGGUGAAGCCAGAGGAAACUCUGGUGGAGGCUCGCAGCGGUUCUGACGUGCAAAUCGAUCGUCAAAUUUGGGCAUAGGGGCGAAAGACUAAUCGAACUAUCUAGUAGCUGGCUCUGCGA